AUUGAACGCUGGCGGCAGGCCUAACACAUGCAAGUCGAACGAGUGGCGGACGGGUGAGUAAUGUCUGGGAAACUGCCUGAUGGAGGGGGAUAACUACUGGAAACGGUAGCUAAUACCGCAUAACCUCGGAUGUGCCCAGAUGGGAUUAGCUAGUAGGUGGGGUAAAGGCUCACCUAGGCGACGAUCCCUAGCUGGUCUGCGAGGAUGACCAGCAACACUGGAACUGAGACACGGUCCAGACGCCUACGGGAGGCAGCAGUGGGGAAUAUUGCACAAUGGGCGCAAGCCGGAUGCAGCAAUGCCGCGUGUAUGAAGAAGGCCUUCGGGUUGUAAAGGACUUGCAGCGGGGAGGCGUUACCCGCAGAAGAAGCACCGGCUAACUCCGUGCCAGCAGCCGCGGUAAUUC
This 406-nucleotide ribosomal RNA is filed under the name uncultured bacterium. Its description in RNAcentral is "partial 16S ribosomal RNA". It matches the Rfam family "Bacterial small subunit ribosomal RNA", at positions 29 to 526 of the family's 1533-position model. The record is from RNAcentral.